Molecule: ribosomal RNA, 485 nt
Filed under: uncultured bacterium
Lineage: Bacteria
Description: partial 16S ribosomal RNA
Rfam family: Bacterial small subunit ribosomal RNA
Source: RNAcentral
AUUGAACGCUGGCGGCAUGCCUUACACAUGCAAGUCGAACGGCAGCACGGGUGCUUGCACCUGGUGGCGAGUGGCGAACGGGUGAGUAAUACAUCGGAACGUACCUUAUCGUGGGGGAUAACGCAGCGAAAGUUGCGCUAAUACCGCAUAAGCCCUGAGGGGGAAAGCGGGGGACCGUAAGGCCUCGCGCGAUUAGAGCGGCCGAUGUCUGAUUAGCUUGUUGGUGAGGUAAAAGCUCACCAAGGCGAUGAUCAGUAGCUGGUCUGAGAGGACGAUCAGCCACACUGGGACUGAGACACGGCCCAGACUCCUACGGGAGGCAGCAGUGGGGAAUUUUGGACAAUGGGGGCAACCCUGAUCCAGCAAUGCCGCGUGAGUGAAGAAGGCCUUCGGGUUGUAAAGCUCUUUUGUCAGGGAAGAAACAGCAGCUCUAACACAGUCUGCGAAUGACGGUACCUGAAGAAUAAGCACCGGCUAACUACGUG